This 804-nucleotide ribosomal RNA is filed under the name uncultured bacterium. Its description in RNAcentral is "bacterial SSU rRNA". It matches the Rfam family "Bacterial small subunit ribosomal RNA", at positions 235 to 1053 of the family's 1533-position model. The record is from RNAcentral.
UUCCCAUCAGCUAGUUGGUGUGGUAAAGGCGCACCAAGGCGACGGCGGGUAAGGGACCUAAGAGGGUGGUCCCUCGCAAUGGCACUGAAACACGGGCCAUACACCUACGGGUGGCAGCAGUAGGGAAUAUUGGGCAAUGGGCGAAAGCCUGACCCAGCAACGCCGCGUGCGCGAAGAAGGCCUUCGGGUCGUAAAGCGCUUUUCUGAGGGAUGAGAAAGGACAGUACCUCAGGAAUAAGCCUCGGCUAACUACGUGCCAGCAGCCGCGGUAAAACGUAGGAGGCAAGCGUUAUCCGGAUUUACUGGGCGUAAAGCGUGUGCAGGCGGUCUGGCAAGUUGGAUGUGAAAGCUCCUGGCUUAACUAGGAGAGGUCGUUCAAAACUACCGGACUAGAGUGUAUCAGAGGGAGAUGGAAUUCCCGGUGUAGUGGUGAAAUGCGUAGAUAUCGGGAGGAACACCAGUGGCGAAAGCGAUCUUCUGGGAUACUACUGACGCUCAGACACGAAAGCUAAGGUAGCGAACGGGAUUAGAGACCCCGGUAGUCUUAGCAGUAAACGAUGUAGACUUGGUGUCGGAGGUGUAAUAGCCUUCGGUAUCGAAGCAAACGCGAUAAGUCUACCGCCUGGGGACUACGGCCGCAAGGUUAAAACUCAAAGGAAUUGACGGGGGCCCGCACAAGCAGCGGAGCGUGUGUUUAAUUCGAUGCUACACGAAGAACCUUACCCAGGUUUGACAUGCAAGUGGUAGUGAAGGGAAACCCGGAACGACCCUUCCGGGAGCUUGUACAGGUGCUGCAUGGCUGUC